CGUAACCGUGCGGGAGAGUCCCUGGGCAGCCGGCUCAGGGCGCCGAAGGAGCAACCUCCCCGGAACCUCUCAGGCCACAGGACCGUGCGGUAGGG
RNAcentral lists this non-coding RNA (95 nucleotides) under Cryptosporangium aurantiacum. RNAcentral describes it as "Glycine sequence". It matches the Rfam family "Glycine riboswitch aptamer". Rfam says of the family: This family represents the bacterial glycine riboswitch. Glycine riboswitches usually consist of two metabolite-binding aptamers domains with similar structures in tandem. Lineage: Bacteria; Bacillati; Actinomycetota; Actinomycetes; Cryptosporangiales; Cryptosporangiaceae. The record is from Rfam by way of RNAcentral.